Molecule: transfer RNA, 95 nt
Rfam family: tRNA
About the family: Transfer RNA (tRNA) molecules are approximately 80 nucleotides in length. Their secondary structure includes four short double-helical elements and three loops (D, anti-codon, and T loops).
Source: Rfam
GACAGUAUGGCCGAGUGGUUAAGGCGGGAGACUCGAAUUCAUUUCAAGCCAUCUACUGGGCUCUGCCCGCGCAGGUUCGAAUCCUGCUGCUGUCG